AUUUGUAGCAUGCACUUUAAGGAAUAUUUUUGUCUCAGAAGCUAAGCAAGGCCGGGCCUGGUUAGUACCUGGAUGGGAGACCACUGGGAAAAUCAGGUGCUGCAGUGG
RNAcentral lists this ribosomal RNA (108 nucleotides) under Periophthalmus magnuspinnatus. The record is from RNAcentral. Lineage: Eukaryota; Metazoa; Chordata; Actinopteri; Gobiiformes; Gobiidae.